Molecule: long non-coding RNA, 563 nt
Organism: Hevea brasiliensis (rubber tree)
Lineage: Eukaryota; Viridiplantae; Streptophyta; Magnoliopsida; Malpighiales; Euphorbiaceae
Exons: 2
Source: RefSeq, a predicted model, not a curated record
UACCAUUCCUCAUUAUAAAAAUAAAAAGUUCUCUUUUCCUAUCUGUUACUACUUGAAGGAGCAAUGAUAUAUUUAGCAUGAACAAUCCCCGAUAAUUGUUUUUCCAUAGCGACAGUUCACAAUGGCAAGGAUGAGCACUGAACAUCUUCACAAGAUAAUUAAAGCUGCGCAAACUCUCUCCUCCUCUCUUCUUCAUACAUGGCAUUAAUCCCACAUCAAAUAGUUAUGAAAGUUGAGAAACGAACAGAACAUAUAAAUAGGAAGUUAAUGGCCAAUUGCAACAUAUUUAACUGGACGGAGUCAAAUGGUGAUCAAGAAGACUCAUGGCAUAGGAAUCUUCUCAUUGUGAGCUUUACUCCUGUAUGCUGCACAAUGCGACCUGCAUAGCCUCUGUGUCUCCAAUGAAGAUGACUGCUGCGUGGAAGGAUCUUGGUGUUGAUGAUAUUUUCUUUGCUAAUCCAAUACAUCUAUCUACUAGAAUUCCCACCACACAUGGGGCAUUUCUAAGCAUCUGUUACAAUCCAGAACCAUCAGGAAGUCGCAAAUGACUAAGAGGAUUUCAU